Molecule: long non-coding RNA, 235 nt
Organism: Dermacentor albipictus
Lineage: Eukaryota; Metazoa; Arthropoda; Arachnida; Ixodida; Ixodidae
Source: RefSeq, a predicted model, not a curated record
UCGAGCAAGUGCAGCUCGCCGGAAGUGUUGCGUUUUGCACUGCAUUUUCCUUGUGAUAUGGGAGAUCGCAACGCAGAGACGACCAGAUGCAUACGAAAGACUACCAGCGGAGAGUGACCUGUGCCAUAUUUCUCUUAACCUCUCAGGUAUUCAAGAAAUGGCAACAUCCAGAAGAAGACGCCAUCUUAUCCAGCACGUUAUGGGUACACUCUGGUGGCUCCCGCCCCUGCAUUCU